Long non-coding RNA from Bubalus bubalis (water buffalo), 659 nucleotides. RefSeq lists it as uncharacterized. NCBI's taxonomy places the organism in Eukaryota, Metazoa, Chordata, Mammalia, Artiodactyla, Bovidae. The record is from RefSeq and is a predicted model, not a curated record. The transcript is spliced from 3 exons.
CCUUAGAAAAAUUUGGGGUGGGGGUUGGGGACAGAACUAGAGACUUCAACUGAAUAAUGAAGAUUGGGUGUGGCUAGGAGAGGGUAUUCCCACUCCAGGCAAGGUAAAUGGUCUGUGCAAAGGCACAGAAGUAGGAAGGCUACCUCAUCUUUGGAGGACUAUAAGCAAAUAGACCCGAUCAUGGGGAAGGGUAUGUGCAGAGGAACUACGGGUAAUCAAGCUGCAUACAGCCAAUGGAGCAGAGGAGUGGAAGCCUUUGAGAGCACACAGAGGGCAAGGCCUUGAUGAGAUAACUGGGGAGUCACUGAGUUUUCUUCAGCAGGGGAGUCACCUAAAAAACAGUGGCCCAUGAGGAGAUGAAGCUGGUAGCCCUGUGCAGGAAAGCAUGGAGGCAAAACCCAUUGAGGAGCUCCUAAGGAAACCCAGGCAAUGAUGGCUUAGACUACGGUAAUGGCAAUGGGACCACGAAAGAAAAGCUCCACCGAGCCCCAGAUCCUCCAAUCAAUGGAACCAGUGAAGGAAGAGAACACAUGGUCCAGACAUCCAGGAAAAACAGAGAGAAGCUGUCAUAGAGCACCUCUCUGGGCUGAUAGCUCACCGCAGGGUGGUAGUGGGGGCAACAAGGCCUCUUCUGAUCGACCGCUGGUUUGCUGAUUUGG